AACGAACGCUGGCGGCAGGCUUAACACAUGCAAGUCGAACGCAUGCCUUCGGGCAUGAGUGGCAGACGGGUGAGUAACGCGUGGGAACCUACCCCUUGGUACGGGAUAGCUCCGGGAAACUGGAGAUAAUACCGUAUGUGUCCUGAGGGACAAAGAUUCAUCGCCAAGGGAUGGGCCCGCGUCGGAUUAGCUAGUUGGUGGGGUAACGGCCUACCAAGGCGACGAUCCGUAGCUGGUCUAAGAGGAUGAUCAGCCACAUUGGGACUGAGACACGGCCCAAACUCCUACGGGAGGCAGCAGUGGGGAAUAUUGGACAAUGGGCGCAAGCCUGAUCCUGCCAUGCCGCGUGAGUGAUGAAGGCCCUAGGGUUGUAAAGCUCUUUCACCGGUGACGAUAAUGACGGUAACCGGAGAAGAAGCCCCGGCUAACUUCGUG
Molecule: ribosomal RNA, 435 nt
Filed under: uncultured bacterium
Lineage: Bacteria
Description: partial 16S ribosomal RNA
Rfam family: Bacterial small subunit ribosomal RNA
Source: RNAcentral